UGUUUGGAGCACAGAGAGAGAGCUGCUUUUUCCUGGAGGAAACGAAGUGAAUUUAGAGGAGAAACAAACUAAAGCAUCGAUCCAACAUCACUACCAACGUUUGUAUCGGUACUAUUGAUACUUGGAUCGAUCCGCGCACCCUGAUCUCCUGGAUCUGACCUGAGAACAGCGUUAAUCUCUGUCUGUGGGCUCAGCUAAAGCUGAUUAUCAGGAGGAGGAGAGUCUGACGGAGCAGCAGAGGAACAUUUUCAGCCUCUACAGAGGAAACAAUGAGUUCAACACAACAGGACCAACAAGGAGCGAGAAGUCAGCACUCUCAGGAGGCUGACAAACCUCACAGAAGGAAAGGAGGAAAAAAAUACACCUGUGAUCAGUGUGGGAAGGAUUUUACUAAUAAGGGUUCAUUCAAAAAUCAUCAAGUCAUCCACACUGGAGAGAAGCCGUUCAGCUGUGACUUGUGUGGAAAGUCUUUUACCCGGGCUGGAAGCUUAAAAAGACACCAACUCAUCCACAGUGGAGAGAAGCCGUACAGCUGUGAUCAGUGUGGCAGAGCUUUCACUCAGAGUAGCCACUUAAAGAAUCAUCAAGUUACCCACUCUGAAAUUAAGGCAUACAGCUGUGACUAUUGUGGAAAAACUUUCAGCCACAUAGAGAGCAGAAAUACACACCUACGCAUUCACACUGGACAUGAUGUGUACAGCUGUGAUCAGUGUGGCAAAAAGUUUGGAACAGACGCACAGUUACAAUCCCACAUGUUUACCCACACUGAGGAGAG
Molecule: long non-coding RNA, 775 nt
Organism: Archocentrus centrarchus (flier cichlid)
Lineage: Eukaryota; Metazoa; Chordata; Actinopteri; Cichliformes; Cichlidae
Exons: 3
Source: RefSeq, a predicted model, not a curated record